AAUGAAUGAUGACAAAAUGUUUUGAUCUCAUGAUACAUACUGAUUAUACCAUUAACGUUUAUUUUUGACAUU
Molecule: small nucleolar RNA, 72 nt
Organism: Myotis lucifugus (little brown bat)
Lineage: Eukaryota; Metazoa; Chordata; Mammalia; Chiroptera; Vespertilionidae
Gene: SNORD73
Rfam family: Small nucleolar RNA SNORD73
About the family: U73 is a member of the C/D class of snoRNA which contain the C (UGAUGA) and D (CUGA) box motifs. U73 is encoded within the introns of ribosomal protein S3a and contains a 12nt region of complementarity to a conserved sequence in 28S ribosomal RNA.
Source: Ensembl